RNAcentral lists this ribosomal RNA (285 nucleotides) under uncultured bacterium. RNAcentral describes it as "partial 16S ribosomal RNA". It matches the Rfam family "Bacterial small subunit ribosomal RNA", at positions 237 to 509 of the family's 1533-position model. The record is from RNAcentral.
CUGAUUAGCUAGUUGGUGGGGUAACGGGCGUCUACCAAGGCGACGAUCAGUAGCCGGUCUGAGAGGAUGAACGGCCACAUUGGGACUGAGACACGGCCCAGACUCCUACGGGAGGCAGCAGUGGGGAAGUCUUCCGCAAUGGGCGAAAGCCUGACGGAGCAACGCCGCGUGAGUGAAGAAGGUCUUCGGAUCGUAAAGCUCUGUUGAGAGGGGACGAGAGAUUACUUCAGGAAAUGGGAGUAAGAGGACGGUACCUUUCGAGGAAGCCACGGCUAACUACGUGCC